CCGCACGGGUGAGUAACGCGUAUGCAACCUACCUAUCAGGAGGGGAUAACCCGGCGAAAGUCGGACUAAUACCGCAUAAAACAGGGGUUCCACAUGGAAAUAUUUGUUAAAGAAUUAUCGCUGAUAGAUGGGCAUGCGUUCCAUUAGAUAGUUGGUGAGGUAACGGCUCACCAAGUCUACGAUGGAUAGGGGUUCUGAGAGGAAGGUCCCCCACACUGGUACUGAGACACGGACCAG
This 237-nucleotide ribosomal RNA is filed under the name uncultured bacterium. RNAcentral's name for it is "partial 16S ribosomal RNA". It matches the Rfam family "Bacterial small subunit ribosomal RNA", at positions 98 to 334 of the family's 1533-position model. The record is from RNAcentral.